GCCAGCGUAGCUCAGCCGGCAGAGCAACUGUUUUGUAAACAGUAGGUCGUCGGUUCGAUUCCGACCGCUGGCUCCA
RNAcentral lists this transfer RNA (76 nucleotides) under Patescibacteria group bacterium. RNAcentral's name for it is "tRNA-Thr". It matches the Rfam family "tRNA". From Rfam's summary of the family: Transfer RNA (tRNA) molecules are approximately 80 nucleotides in length. Their secondary structure includes four short double-helical elements and three loops (D, anti-codon, and T loops). Further hydrogen bonds mediate the characteristic L-shaped molecular structure. tRNAs have two regions of fundamental functional importance: the anti-codon, which is responsible for specific mRNA codon recognition, and the 3' end, to which the tRNAs corresponding amino acid is attached (by aminoacyl-tRNA synthetases). tRNAs cope with the degeneracy of the genetic code in two manners: having more than one tRNA (with a specific anti-codon) for a particular amino acid; and 'wobble' base-pairing, i.e. permitting non-standard base-pairing at the 3rd anti-codon position. The record is from RNAcentral.